CAACUCGCCUGCAUGAAGUCGGAAUUGCUAGUAAUCGCGGAUCAGCAUGCCGCGGUGAAUACGUUCCCGGGCCUUGUACACACCGCCCGUCACACCAUGGGAGCCGGUAAUACCCGAAGUCAGUAGUCUAACCGCAAGGAGGACGCUGCCGAAGGUAGGAUUGGCGACUGGGGUGAAGUCGUAACAAGGUAGC
This 193-nucleotide ribosomal RNA is filed under the name uncultured bacterium. RNAcentral describes it as "partial 16S ribosomal RNA". It matches the Rfam family "Bacterial small subunit ribosomal RNA", at positions 1308 to 1500 of the family's 1533-position model. The record is from RNAcentral.